RNAcentral lists this ribosomal RNA (253 nucleotides) under uncultured Roseibacillus sp. Its description in RNAcentral is "partial 16S ribosomal RNA". It matches the Rfam family "Bacterial small subunit ribosomal RNA", at positions 524 to 776 of the family's 1533-position model. Lineage: Bacteria; Pseudomonadati; Verrucomicrobiota; Verrucomicrobiia; Verrucomicrobiales; Verrucomicrobiaceae. The record is from RNAcentral.
UACGAAGGUCCCAAGCGUUGUUCGGAAUCACUGGGCGUAAAGCGUGUGUAGGCUGCGCGGAAAGUCAAAUGUGAAAGCCCGGGGCUCAACCUCGGAACUGCAUUCGAUACUCCCGUGCUGGAGUCAUGGAGAGGUGAGUGGAAUUCCCGGUGUAGCAGUGAAAUGCGUGGAUAUCGGGAGGAACAUCAAUGGCGAAGGCAACUCACUGGACAUGUACUGACGCUCAGACACGAAGGCCAGGGGAGCGAAAGGG